UUCACCGCGGCCGAGGAGAAGACGGUGGUGACCGUUAUGUAAUGCCGUUAGCGCAUUAACGUCUAGGGCGCUUCGCGUGCCGCGAGCGCGCCACGCGGCGGCGACGACGCGAGUAUCGAUAUUUUGUGCAUUUAUGUAACGAAGGUCGUGCAUACGGCCUUUUCGGCAGCUUACAUAACUUUCUCGCAACCGUCACCGACCGAUCGCAUAUAGCCACGAAAAAGCCUAUAUCGGCAAUCGCUCGGGGAUGGAUCGAUAUCCCAAUGGAACGUACCGUUCGGCCAGAUGGCAGGCGGCGCAUAGCGGCUUCUCGCUAACGACCGUGCAACGAAGACGUGCCUCCGAUCGAUGACGGUGCGGUCCAAUAUGGCCGCCACGGUCUUUCGGUCGGCCACGAGACCGAAUUUCUUCCCGCUUGCCUACUUCCGCGCGUCACAAAUCGACUGCGUUCAGCGGAACGAAGCGAUCAGUCAGUGAUUUACUGGUCUUUACCGUCAGAUCCCUAAAUCUAGACCAAUUACUGCUGAUGAAUUGCUUAACCGUUGUGUCCGCUGAACGUAUUCAUUCACACCGUCCAUAGAGUCACCCUGCUGAUUCAUUCCUGUCGUGCGAUCAAGACUAGCGUCUUUGGCACGAUCUCUUUUCGAUGCGCAGCGCGAGAAACAUGUCAUUGUCGCGAUAACUUGCAGUUUCAACUCAUUAGGUUCUGAAUUUCAGCACUGGCAGUGAAUUUCGGAACGCAGCCUAAAUUAAUUGGUACAGUAUAGAUUUAGAAUAAAAUCGCCGAGUUAAAUUGAUUGCGAUGAGGAGAUUGAGAUAACUGGGAAGAUUUUGUAAUCUGUCAGUGUACAGCAAGCAAUUUUAAAUUUAUGUACGUAACAGUUGCUUUUAGAAUUGAUGAAACUAAAGAUUGGCAAAUACGCUGCAGUCAACAACUCAAAUUUUUAUUUGAUGUAAAGCAAUUCGUAUGUAGUUAUUGAAAUUCCACUUUGAUUUUGUAUAUGAAGUGUCAAAACUAUAGUAAUUCAUAUUGUUCAUGAAUCUUUUAAGUUUUUGUCAUUCAAAUUCUUACUAAAGCUCUUUAAUAAGUA
Long non-coding RNA from Odontomachus brunneus, 1091 nucleotides. RefSeq lists it as uncharacterized. Lineage: Eukaryota; Metazoa; Arthropoda; Insecta; Hymenoptera; Formicidae. The transcript is spliced from 2 exons. The record is from RefSeq and is a predicted model, not a curated record.